ACAAAGCAUUUUAAUAAUUCAAACAUGACAAUUAAAUAUGAAUUAAUUGAUUCUCACUAAACAUGAGUUUGAUGAAAACUUUGUGACAAUAUUGCAUUUACAAAUUUUUGGAAGUAUGAUCAAACUAAGUGACAAGGCUGUUACAUUUUCACCAGCAGAUGUCCCUAGUGAGUGACGAAUGAAGCAUCGAGUAAAGAACCUUUUUCCAAAGCAAAGUGUUGGAAAGCUUCAUUGCUUCAUGAGGUUUCAUUUGCCCAAUACCAGAAAGGGCAGAGCUUGCUGCAGAUCCUCAGAGGAACACAGAGGAGGAUGACCAGCACACAAUCACUGGAUAUAAUCCUUCAGUGAGGGCAGGCCACCAACAGGAGCACAAGGUCUGUCAGGCUACGCAAACAAAAACUGGGCUGCAAACAGGCAGUGCUAAUGAGACGUUCUGUCAGUGAGUGUCUGUGGAGGGCAGGUAUAAGUAGUGACAGACGAGCUGGGUUGAGUCUGAUUGCUGCAACAGGUGGAACUAAUGAAGGUGGCUGAUGAGAGUGGAGAAGAGAAUGGAGGGAAACGGACCAAAAGAACAUAAACAAAAAGCCCCAAUCGUGACAAAUACUGUAUCCGCACAGAGGAGUGUAAAGAUGAAACAGCAUGAAGUUGGAUGAGCUGGGAUAGGAGUAGCGAGGCUUAGCAAGGUGGAGGCCAGACGAGGAUGGACUUCUCUCUGGUGUAUUACUGCCCCCCAGUGGUGAAACAUUCCCUCACGUUAAAGAAGCGGAUGGCGAUCCAUUAAAAAUCCACACGCACAAACAAGAAGAAACAGAAAGUGUAAUUUAAACAAUUUGACUUUAUUCUGUGUUAGUUUCCUUCGUUAUACGUUAGCAAACACUCUCUCAGCAGGUGAAAUGUACUCUGACUUAAUCUGCUACUCUUUUCAUCACAAGCUUUGCUCAUUCAUUUACAAUAAGGCAAAAGAAAAAGUUACUGUCAGCCUGUUGUUCCUGUUAUCUGUGAAACAAGACUCUCCUACACACACACACACACACACACACACACACACACUCUAACAUAAGACUCGUGUUUGAAAUACGAAACAGCAAUGCACAAACAAAACUGUGGGAACUAGUGAUUAGCUUUGUAGCAGAGGUAUAAUUGGAGCCGCUAAUUGGCGCAGAGCCUCGUUGUUACACUGUAACCUCUAAUUUAGCACAUUUACAUCCCUUAAAACAAUAACUUUGGCUGAGAAUAAAAUGACUAACAGUAGCUGUGGUGAAAAACAGAUCUACUUAUGGUAACAAUAAAAUAUUUUAUGCUGUUUGCUGUAAUGCACUCGCACAGCCCCUCUCACAUUUAUUGUCAUCCAUGACAGACGUGUGUGUAAAAUGCCUUUAAAAUAAAUGUACCUUUUGUUGCAGAAGCACAAUCUCACUCUUAACAUUUCUGAAUAUUCCAACCAUAAAUUUGGAUACAUUAAUUGAAUAGGAAAAUUAAUUCAACAUUACAAACAUUUUCACUGGUGUCUCAGUAAUUACUUUAAAAUAAGUGUUUUAUUUGACUUGAUUUGUUUACGUCUAACUAAUCAGAGCGCUCUUAUCCAGACAUCCGAUGAAACGGCUGUUAAGCAGGACGUGUGAUGCUGUGGGACUGUUUCUCUGCUAUAGGCUCUGCGAACAAUGUUAGAAUGCAUUACAUCAUGAACUCCUUGAAAUACCAGCAGAUUUUAAAUCGAUAAAUCUCGUGACCACUAUCAGUAAGCUCAAAAUGGGUCAUCAUGGCGUCAUUCAACAGAGUAGUGAUCCAAAAACAUGUGAACACAGAAAUUAUUCACAAGACCAAAUAUUACACAAUCAUAACAAUCUGUGGGGUGAGCUGAAGACAAAAUAGCAUCAGAGAGACUCUCAAUGAUCUAAAAAGACUGUGCAAAAAAAAAAAAAUUGUUUCAAAGAUCCCUUUCUACCACCAAUGGGAUGCUUGGCCAACCCCCUCUUUCUGCUAACCCAUGAUCAAUCAAAUUUAGGAAGUCACUCAAAGUUUGGGGGUGGGAUAAAAUGCAGUGGAGUCCCGCGCAAAGCAUAUAAAAUAGUGCCUACCCUCAGCAGCAAGCAAGAGGCACUGACUGGUCAUGCAAAACAGCAAACUGACAGCACACAUCCCCAACCUCUAUUUCAAUACCGCUUUGGGUAGCCGCCCAUAUGGCCCGUGUCAAAAAUUAACACUGUGUUGUCCAAUUAGCAAACCGGUGUUGUGCAAAGCAUGGACUGCACAGUUACCAAUUAAGGUAAUAGACCAGUACUGACUUUGUUAAAAGAAAUUUAGCUCACCCAGGUAGGAUUGUUCUAAAUUGAUCAUUGCGAGGUUAUGCUUAAAAGUUGAAUUUAUUUGAAGACAUCUCUCCCAGGGGUGCCAAUAAGUGUGGAGGGUACUGUAUAUGAAAUAAAGGCAGACAUUAAGGAUACAGAUGAAGAAAGCCUAUACAUUAUAGAGAAAUCUGUGUCGCGCUUCUUCUUUUUUUUUCUUCUUUUUUUUUUUUAAACAUAAGCCUUAUAGAUGUAUAU
This is a long non-coding RNA of Fundulus heteroclitus (mummichog), 2543 nucleotides long. RefSeq lists it as uncharacterized. The record is from RefSeq and is a predicted model, not a curated record. The transcript is spliced from 2 exons. NCBI's taxonomy places the organism in Eukaryota, Metazoa, Chordata, Actinopteri, Cyprinodontiformes, Fundulidae.